CAAGCCGUAAACAUUCCUUGCUAAUUGCUUGGUCCUUUAUGGAUUGAGUGAUGUAAGCUAACGCGUUAAGCAAGGCGCCUGGGGAUUACGAUCGCAAGAUUAAAACUCAAAGGAAUUGAC
RNAcentral lists this ribosomal RNA (120 nucleotides) under uncultured bacterium. Its description in RNAcentral is "partial 16S ribosomal RNA". It matches the Rfam family "Bacterial small subunit ribosomal RNA", at positions 796 to 914 of the family's 1533-position model. The record is from RNAcentral.